UAUUGGACAAUGGGCGCAAGCCUGAUCCAGCCAUGCCGCGUGAGUGAUGAAGGCCUUAGGGUUGUAAAGCUCUUUCAGUAGGGAAGAUAAUGACGGUACCUACAGAAGAAGCCCCGGCUAACUUCGUGCCAGCAGCCGCGGUAAUACGAAGGGGGCUAGCGUUUUUCGGAUUCACUGGGCGUAAAGCGCACGUAGGCGGUUUGUUAAGUCAGGGGUGAAAUCCCGGAGCUCAACUCCGGAACUGCCUUUGAUACUGGCAAGCUAGAGUCCGGAAGAGGUAAGUGGAACUCCUAGUGUAGAGGUGGAAUUCGUAGAUAUUAGGAAGAACACCAGUGGCGAAGGCGGCUUACUGGUCCGGAACUGACGCUGAGGUGCGAAAGCGUGGGGAGCAAACAG
RNAcentral lists this ribosomal RNA (396 nucleotides) under uncultured bacterium. RNAcentral describes it as "bacterial SSU rRNA". It matches the Rfam family "Bacterial small subunit ribosomal RNA", at positions 362 to 775 of the family's 1533-position model. The record is from RNAcentral.